RNAcentral lists this ribosomal RNA (525 nucleotides) under uncultured bacterium. RNAcentral describes it as "bacterial SSU rRNA". It matches the Rfam family "Bacterial small subunit ribosomal RNA", at positions 355 to 896 of the family's 1533-position model. The record is from RNAcentral.
UGGGGAAUAUUGGACAAUGGAGGAGACUCUGAUCCAGCAAUUCUGUGUGCACGAAGACGGUUUUCGGAUUGUAAAGUGCUUUCAGCAGGGAAGAAGAAAGUGACGGUACCUGCAGAAGAAGCGACGGCUAAAUACGUGCCAGCAGCCGCGGUAAUACGUAUGUCGCAAGCGUUAUCCGGAAUUAUUGGGCAUAAAGGGCAUCUAGGCGGAUAUACAAGUCAGGGGUGAAAACUUAGGGCUCAACUCAAAGCUUGCCUUUGAAACUGUAUAUCUAGAGUGCUGGAGAGGUGGACGGAACUACACGAGUAGAGGUGAAAUUCGUAGAUAUGUGUAGGAAUGCCGAUGAUGAAGAUAGUCCACUGGACAGCAACUGACGCUGAAGUGCGAAAGCUAGGGGAGCAAACAGGAUUAGAUACCCUGGUAGUCCUAGCUGUAAACGAUGAUUACUGGGUGUGGGCAUGAAGAGUGUCUGUGCCGAAGCUAAUGCGAUAAGUAAUCCGCCUGGGGAGUACGACCGCAAGGUUG